This 341-nucleotide long non-coding RNA is filed under the name Salvia miltiorrhiza (redroot sage). Its description in RNAcentral is "long non-coding RNA (SMIL_LNC003820)". Lineage: Eukaryota; Viridiplantae; Streptophyta; Magnoliopsida; Lamiales; Lamiaceae. The record is from RNAcentral.
ACAGAUAUUAACAAACAAAGACGGGCAAAAGCAGGUAAAGAGCAUAAGGGAUUAACAACCACGACAUGCAACGAACAUAAUUAAAGAAUUAAAAUUCUUCGUGACCCAUUCGUGGAAACCCAACAUCUAUUCUAUUUUAAAAGAAAAUAAAAUAAAUAAAAUUGGACAAAAAAAAGCCCAAAAACGCCUAAAAUAGGCUGAAAAAACUCUCCAGUCCUUGUUUGGGCCCAAAAACGCGCGGCCCAGCCCUCAAAGCCCGUUCAGCAGCCCAAAAAAUGCAAGGAGAAGCCCAGGCCCGCGAACUGCUACCCGGAUCCGCGAACUGUACCCGGAUCCGCGCC